This 597-nucleotide ribosomal RNA is filed under the name Pratylenchus neglectus. Its description in RNAcentral is "partial small subunit ribosomal RNA". It matches the Rfam family "Eukaryotic small subunit ribosomal RNA", at positions 968 to 1590 of the family's 1831-position model. The record is from RNAcentral. Lineage: Eukaryota; Metazoa; Nematoda; Chromadorea; Rhabditida; Pratylenchidae.
CUUCAUUAAUCAAGAACGAAAGUCAGAGGUUCGAAGGCGAUCAGAUACCGCCCUAGUUCUGACCGUAAAAGUCGUAACAAGGUAACCANNGAUGGANCNCAAUUGCCUGGUGNNAGCUUCCCGAAAACGAAAGUUUUCCGGUUCCGGGGGAAUAUGGUUGCAAAGCUGAAACUUAAAGGAAUUGACGGAAGGGCACCACCAGGAGUGGAGCCUGCGGCUUAUUUUGACUCAACACGGGGAAACUCACCCGGCCCGUACAUGNUAAGGAUUGACAGAUUGACAGCUUUUUCAUGAUUCGGUGGAUGGUGGUGCAUGGCCNUUCUUAGUUCGUGGAGCGAUCUGUCUGGUUUAUUCCGAUAACGAGCGAGACUCUGGCCUACUAACUAGUCCGCGNGUUNCCUCUGUGCCGUUGGACUUCUUAGAGGGAUUCGCGGUGUUCAGCCGCUAGAAAUGGAGCAAUAACAGGCCUGUGAUGCCCUUAGAUGUCGGGGGCNGNUCGGGCGCUACACUGAACAAAAUCAGCUGGCUUGUCCUGCUUCGAAAGGGGCGGGUAAACCCUNGAAAAAUCUGCCGUGAUUGGGAUCGGAAAUCUGCCAA